AGGCAGCAGCUGUGCGGCCUGCAGCACUGAGCAGCUGCACUUGGCUCCUGGGCAGGCAGCGGGGCCCGGGGCCUGCCGCCUGCACUCAGUCCCUGCUGCUCUGCAAGAUGCUGGCUCCAGGCGCUCCCUGAGCUUUGAGCGAUGCCCCUGUUUUCCCUCUCUCCUCUGCUUAAAGCUCUGGAAACACACCAUGCUGCUGUGAUAUAAAAAGCACAUUCAGAUCUCAGGGCACUGUCACCCUUGUACACUGACUUCUAUUGUUACGGGAUGAACUGACAGGCUCCCUUCCGGAAUGGUGUUCAGCUGGAGCAGUUUUGCCUAUGUCAUAUUACAUAAGAACUGCAAGUACCUACUAAAAGGCGGCAUUUGGGGAUGAUUAGAUCAGUCCAGGCACCUCAGACAGAUCGUCAGUCUGCUGGAAAAAGUCAAUGACUUUGCUCCCUUGUUCAUCUCUCUCUGUUGUAUUGAACACCCGACUUUUGGAUUCCCGAGUGAGGAAUUCACAAAUAUUUGGGACAGGAAAGACAAUCUUUUCCAUUGUUCUAUCAUGGCGAACAAUCUAUAAAUAAAAUGCACAUUUUUGCCAGAGUCAGUGACUAUCCAACCAUUUUGUCAUAUCUUUUCUUGU
Long non-coding RNA from Passer domesticus (house sparrow), 628 nucleotides. RefSeq lists it as uncharacterized. The transcript is spliced from 3 exons. The record is from RefSeq and is a predicted model, not a curated record. Lineage: Eukaryota; Metazoa; Chordata; Aves; Passeriformes; Passeridae.